CAGGUUGACGUCACCAAUUGCACAGAGCGAGCCGAAGAUGGCGACACAAUAUUACUCACAUACAACGGUACGUUUGAAGAUGGCGUCUCGUUCGAUGCAACCAAGCCGGGUGCUUCAAUGAAUCUGACCUUAGGCCCUCACUCAUUCAGGGAUUUAACCUCGGACUCUAUGAUGCCUGUAUCGGACAAACUCGACGGAUAUUUGUUCCUUAUCGUCUUGGAUACGGUGAAGCCGGGGCAGGCGGAGUCAUCCCACCUCGAACCGACAUCAUCUUCCUCGUCGUAGUACUCGACAUCUUCAAACCGGACUACGUGGGGUUCAAUUACGAGAACACGACCGAGCUCAUAGACAUAGACGACUUCGACGAUGAAACUGAUAUCGACCACGGGAAAGGGAAAGGCGACCGCGACGGCAAAGGACGAAAUAAUCACGUCAGGAGACGUCCUCAUCGUGGAAGACCUUUCUGGUGGUACGUGCAGUUCCUGGCCAUUCCCGUCCUCAUCAUCCUACUCAUCGUCGACGCCUAUUAUCUGUACAAGAUUUACUUUCCACACGGUCGGGUCAAGUUCUACAAAGUCAGGGACCAUGAACCUAACGAUAUAGUCAACACUCUCUGAAAUACAUCCAUGUUUUCUUAUCUUAUAGGGGGCCAUGCCUGUCUUGGCUAGGCACUGAUCUACAGCCUUGUACUCUAUGUGCUUAUCAAGAGUUGCCUCCACAGUGCAUCACUCACGGUGCCGUUGUCCUGACUUUUUUUCUUGAUUUAAAGUGGCUAUAACUUAUAUCCGACGGCGCAAUAGAGAGUCUGUUCAAUCCUCAAGUCUGAUGUCUA
This is a long non-coding RNA of Strongylocentrotus purpuratus (purple sea urchin), 832 nucleotides long. RefSeq lists it as uncharacterized. Lineage: Eukaryota; Metazoa; Echinodermata; Echinoidea; Camarodonta; Strongylocentrotidae. The transcript is spliced from 3 exons. The record is from RefSeq and is a predicted model, not a curated record.